GCCGUCAUAAAGACAAAUAAAUCAACUCACAAAAAGUAAGGGCGCAAGUUCUAAAUAAAAAAGGCUCGCCGUGUCUCCGGCUAAGGUGACAGUAGCUAUUACGUUGUUUUCCAUGAUUGGUCGUAGGUGUAACAAUCAUAUUGUAAGUCGUAGAGCAGAAGUUUAAAAGGGAAAUUAAUUGCGGAUCAACGUCUAAUAUAGGCCUAAGGAACUAUGUGCCCGACUACGUUAGCGCAUUGUGGUCCAAAAUUCUUUUGAAAGACUGUCGUAGAAAGUGGUCUAAUGUUAAGUGAUUCUCGUUGAGCCGCUGGGUAAAGCAGGCGGACGCAAGUAAACCCAGCCACGUGUGUUUUUACCUCUGGGUUGCACGGCUGGGUUUGAGUUUAGCGCAGGCAGACCGCAGGCGCAGCUGGGUAAAGGCUGGAUUUUAAUGCGGACCUUACGCAGCCGCGCCUGCGCGGCGCGCAGAGGAGCGGCAGGCUGCGCAGGGGUGGACAUCCGGUGGGUUGGCGGUGGCCAGCAGAAUAAAUACUGCUGGUGACUGUCGCCCGGGUGCGCAGUCGGUCACCUUCGCAGAAAAAAAUUCGUGCGCACACCGCCCCGGCCGGAGUAGGUGAAGAGGGCAGGUGUAGACCGGGGGGUGGUGAGGAAAACGAAGGAGCGGCCGCUGGCGUUUGGGAUCGCGCGGGUACCCGGAGAAGCCGUGAUCGUUACCGUUCCCGUGGGGGCCGCGGAGCAGGAGGGCACGAGGGGAAGGGGGAGGAGGAGGCCGCCGCGGCGCAAAGGCGGGACCAGCAGCCGCGGACGUGUAGGGCCACGUGGUUCGCGCCACCGUGACCCUCAUGUCCGUCGGCGACGGCAUGGGGCUGCAGUGCGACGGCGUGGUAACCGUAGACCUAGGCGUCGCCUAGGGCCACGGCUGCCAAGGCGAAUCGGUCGCCCGCGUGCUGCUGCUCCACGCGUCCGUGGCGCACGACGAGUACGGCCUCGUUGCAGCCGACGGUCUCAUGCGGCGGCUGAGAGGGUUGACCCUCCGCACCAAGCGGGAGCUUACGCUCCUCGUUGCCGCGUACCCACAGCUGCGGCAGGGCGGCGGCAAGGGUGGCGGCGGGGGCGUCCAUCUCGGCCUCCUGUACCUCCGCCUCCGCCUCAUGGUUCGGCGGGAGCUCCUCCGGGACGUCGUGCGCGACCUCCGAUCGGCGGAGCACCUCCUGCGCGUGACCCUGCCCGACCUCGUUCGGGAACGGGACAGCCGCCGCCCCCUGAGGCAGGUGUGGGGCGACAAGCACGGCGGUGGCGGUGGCAGCGGCGGGCAGGUCGGGUUCGUCUCGGCCUCGGCUGCCCCUUCGCGAGGGGCGUAGGUGGUUGAACCGGCCUCCUCCGGAUGAGCACCUGCCCGGUCAUGGCGCUCACCCACUCGCGCGGAGGACAGGUGAAGCGGCGCUGUGGCCGCGUCCUCCGCCGAGUGGAGCUCGCUACCUUCCUCGUGACCGAGGCGGUCCUCGUCCGGCUGCCGCUCCUCGUCUACGCGAUGCUCCGGUACGAGGUUGCACUGUACUUCCGCGAGGCCGAGUUCCUCCUCCUCCUCCUCCUCGCGCGCCGACCGGCGUUACGGCGGCGGGGUCGUCUGCGGCCUCCUCCGACGGGACCGUCGCAUGGUCCGCCGCAAGUCCACCCGAUCGGGACGAGGCCAGAAGUAGCUGGAGUGGCUGCUGCCACUGCAGCUGCAGUUCCCGUUCCGACUGCUGCAGAUCCCGUCGCACGCCCUGCCGUCGUCUGCCCGCGUUUGAAAAAAUUAUAAAAUAAAUUACAAAUUAAUAUAAAUUCAUCUGAAACCGGCCGCAAACUGGCCGGUGAAUACAAAUUAAUACAAAUAAAAAUACAAAUAAAGCACACUCAACAAAAAAAGUACGACCAUAUAAACCCAGCCGGAGGAGCAAUCUGUCAGUUUGGCUAGGUAUAAUUUUAUGCCUGCGCAUGAGCAGACCGGCUGGGUUUGCUUAUUUUUUCCCUAUUUCGCGCGCAGCCAAACCAAGCAGAGAUUUGUUACUUUAGCCCCGGACCAAGAGUAGAGCGGUCUAAGGAGACGGGUGCCGGCAGCUCUACUUUAGGGCCAUCCCCUCACGCCAGUUUGACGGCUGCUGGCACCCGGGGCGGUGGGGGCUUGAGGGGCGUCUCCGGGGCUGGGGCGGGAGCCCGGGCGGCGGGUCGCUGGGUAGCCCGAGUGGUUUGGUAGUAGUGUACACCCUUACAAGGGGUGGGAACAGGAGGGGUGGUGGCGGGGGCGCCGAUGCGCAGGGGGCGCGGGGCAGGGGGUGCCGAGGAGGUAUGGCAAUGGGCUGCUGUGUCCAGAGCAGAGAGAGAUGAUGAGGUUUCUGAUGAUGACGAGACGGAGAUGUAGAGAUCGAUCGACGAGGGAAGAGACAGGGAGCCGUGUCGUCAGUCAAGUAGAGAGAGAGGAGGAGCUGGGCAGGAGGAGGGGAGAGGGCGUGGGCGCGCCGCGGGUUACGGCAUGCUUGGGAUCGCCGGGGUGGGGGCUAGAGCGCGCCGGUACCCGUUGACGACGGCGAGGGGCCGCCGGCGCCGCGCCCUCCUGCAGAGCAGCAGCGUGAAGGGGCGGAGGCGGCCCUUCUUCUUCGGGGUGGUCCGCGCCUUGCCGCCGCCGCGCCCCCCUCCGCCUCCGCCCCCGCCGCGGCGGCCUCGGCCCCUCUUCUUCGCGGAGAGCCACGAGCCCCUCCUCCCGGCGCUGCACUCGCCGCCCUAGCUGCUGUUCAUGCGCGACCUGGCCCUCGACCCCGCCCCGCUCAAGCCCCAGUGCAUGGACACGUACCUGGCCCCUAGGUUCCUCGACGAGCGGACGUUCAGGUAGAGGUUCGCGUUCGACGCGUGCGGGCAGCUGCACCUCCUGCACGCGGCCCUCCACCGGUAGUACGCGGUGGACGGGGCGUCGCGGUCGUAGCAGUGCGACGCCCUCCGGACGCUCCUGCUGCCGCGGCACGUGGAGCAGUACCUCGAGACGCUCCCGCCCCUCGAGAAGCUGGCGUAGCAGCGCGCCCCGGUGAUGUGCCUCGCGCGGCGGCGGCGGCAGUGCGCGUGGUAGCAGCUCCAGCACGUCGAGACGGUGGUGGUGCCGCAGUAGGUGGCGCUGGAGUUCGGGCUCUUGAAGGAGAAGCGGUUGUUCUUCCUCUUGAGGGGCGAGUUCCGGUAGCUGAAGCCGGAGAGGUAGAAGAAGUUCGGGCCACUCUUCAAGAGACUUUAACACCCUUCAGGGAUGAUAUACCGAGGACUUCACGACUUCUCUUUGAUACCUGGACUUUAUCUGUAAACCUCACGACCGCAAUAGAACAUAUAUAACAAUACGCCACAAGGAGGUAAAACCCGACUCUGACUUGUUCCUCACCGUGUUCGAUAGGAAGCGCCUUUAUAUCUAAAAUUCUCUCUUGGGACCGGGGUACAAAGACUAUUACGAUUUCUAGAUCAAGCCGUCUACGAAGUCGGACUGGGCUUUUAGUCCGAAUGCCGUUUCGUUCAAGAACUCGUAUGUACCGAAGUUUUACGUUUCUUUCGAGGUUUACAAGGAGAACCUCUGUAGCAUUUCAGUUCCGACUUUGUUAAAAGUUCCUACUUAUCUAAAUUUUCUUCUCGAGAUUCCCAAUAACGACUGGUGAACAGCCGACUUCUUCAACUCCUGUAUUUCCUCUACAAGUUUCACUACCUAUGACUAUUACUGCCAUAUCAGAGUAUACUUCUCAACUUCUCGCCCUAACGUUUUAAACCAAGAGUGGAACGUCUUAGACUUCACGUUUACAAUUAUCUUCGACACCUAUGUUUACCAUCUCCUCGUGAUCUAAUACCACUUAAAAACCGACAGAGUGAAGUAGAUGUUUCCUACCGUUUACUACUCGUGGAAGCCGCCCGGAAGGACAAAAAGCUAUUCCUACCGCUACCAAAAUAACUCGGACUCCUCGAAGUCCUCCGGGACCGCCUCCUACCCCGCCAUCUAUAGUGUCUUCACCACUUCCUGUAUAACGUUCUUCAACUGUGGCUGUUCCUACCGUUUUAAUCGAAGCUUCUCAAACAUCGUUACUACUUUUGGCCGUGUCUGACCGCCUUCCGAAGUGCCGUAAUAAGCUCUCCUGCUAAGUUAUCGGAUUCGUAUUCCGAAUAGUUCCUACCUAGACAUUUCUACCCUUUACUCACUUUAGUGUCCGAACGUCGACUACGAGAAUAAGGCCAGUGUAUGUGAAACAACCGAACUACCUUAGCACACAUGACAUAACCACCAAUUCUCGAUCUAUACGGCUCAUCCGGUGACUGACAAUCACGUCGGAACGAAAGUUGACAUGGUUUUGUCGUAUAGCGGUUCCCUUCUCCUGUUCUCCCGCGGUCCAUCGGCGUUGAAAAAACAUAUCACGAUGGGAUACACACGGCAAGAUAAACGUCAUCCUCACGUGGUCUAACAGACACCCAUGCGACGACACAACGACAGACCAUGACUUUCAAAGCCGAUGCACGGUUCUGCCCUAGUCCCAUUGGACGUCAAACAGCAGUGUCAUAUUAAAACUCUCAAACGGACCAGAGUACAUCAUGAACAUCGCCAGGUGAAUAACAAGCACCCAAAUUUGAAAUUUGGGUUGACGAGAACCCCGGUAACGAAGGCUUUAGUAACCUCUAACACA
Molecule: ribosomal RNA, 4679 nt
Filed under: Triticum aestivum (bread wheat)
Lineage: Eukaryota; Viridiplantae; Streptophyta; Magnoliopsida; Poales; Poaceae
Description: partial small subunit ribosomal RNA
Source: RNAcentral